Molecule: long non-coding RNA, 876 nt
Filed under: Diabrotica virgifera virgifera (western corn rootworm)
Lineage: Eukaryota; Metazoa; Arthropoda; Insecta; Coleoptera; Chrysomelidae
Description: uncharacterized LOC126881326
Source: RNAcentral
GAUUAUUUUAUUUACAUGUAAAUUGAAACAAUAAAUAUUGUGCUUUGUCAUAAUUUAAAACUCAUUAUGUUGAAGUCUUUUCCAGUUGAUAAAAUUGCAAUUCAAAAACUUUUAGAUUUGUACUGUAUGGAUGGCACAGGAAGAGAACAAGAGUACAAGAACAUGAAACAUCUUAUUAUGAAUGUAUAUGUAUGUGAUCCUCAAAAAAUUAUUUUUCAAAACAAGAUAGAGAAUGAGCUUUAAAAUCCCAAGGAUCCUGCAAAAUGUCUAUUUGGUGUACUAGUCGAAUAAUAGUAUCUAAAAAUAAUGAAACUGUUUUAAAACACAUUAUGGGCAUGAGGAUGAUAUAGAGCACUUACAUAAAUACCAAAAUCAGAUAAAUAUCUCUUCAAAGUUUAUUUUGAGACUUUCUUCAAAAAUUAAACUUCAGACUGUCCAGGAUAGCAUAAUAGCAUAGGAGGCAAAUUAAAAAGAAUUAAUUUACUUACAAGAAGAGAUAUCACAAACAUUAAACUCUCUUAUGGCAUUGAUUUGAAAGAUGGGUAUAUGUACAAUGAUGAUGCAACCAGUGUUUAUUUUUGGGUUGAAUGCUUACAGAUUAUUUAUUUUUUCCAAUAUUAUUUUACAAACAACAGGGCAUACUAAUGGAUAUUCAUUCUGAAUUUAACAUUUAUGAUUUUUGUCUUAUUUUCCUUAAUACUGUGCCAAAAGGAAAUGUUAAUUAAGUUUGGCAAAUCCUUUAUCGCAAUCGAUGGAACUCAUGGGCUCAAUUCCUAUGACUUUGAACUUAUGACAGUAUUAGUAAAAGAUGAAUUUGGGAAUGGAUUUUGUACUGCUUUCUUAUUUUCAAAUAGAAAAGAUACCUACUUUAAUUUA